UUGGUCGCCUCGCCACAUAACCUAAAAAGCAAUUUCGAUCCAUGUGUGGCCGUUAUAGAGUAUCAAAGUUUUUCUGCAAACCUUGUUACGUAAUCAGUUAUGAAACACAUAGUUUCUGUGCAAGAACAAGAAGAUCGGUCGACCGACAAGAAUUAUUACCUCCAAAGCAAAAGUCACAAAAGUCGCAAAAACGAAAAAGCAAAAGUCUUUUGAAGCAAACUGCGCCAAAUUAACUAGUUGGAAGCAAAGCUUUAACGACAAAGUUUAAAGAAUUACGCGAAACUGCACACGCGGUGACUGCAAUACUUUUGCUGCAGACUACGCUAACUACAGGCCACUUUUAUGCUGCUUCUGAUUGGCUGUAAGGCAAUUUCAAUGUUCAACCCCAGAUCACGUUCAGCGCCGUUGCGAUCAAAUUGAUUUCGACAGCCAGUUUUAGUAACGGCGAUUUUCGACUUUCUCGCAGUCUUACCACGGUGUUUCCAGACGAUUUGUUAUUUUGUUUUGAUCCUCUACGAUUUUUUUGGUUUUAUGGCUGUCGACAGCCAAAUUAGAACGUUAAUGGUCAAUGCAAGCACUGGAAGUAUUGCUAUUUUGUGCGUUGAGCUUGUCAGGCACGGCAUGUUAUGAAAGCAGGUGCAGCACUUAACCCAGUCUGCACUGAUGUGAGGACCCACACCAAUGUUGGAGAAGUCCUAAGGUCCUUAUGAAGCACUGCGUCGCUGGACGAUUGUGCAUGACGACAUGCAGUAAAGCAACAGGGCAGAUGAAUUAUUGCUCUAUGCAGCUCCAUGGCCGGAACGCAAAUUUAGCGGGAAAUGCGUGGAUGUCGACAUCCAUCAUUGUACUUGUUAUCCUGGUUUUAAUUAGCUGUUGAUGCAUUUAGUAGCCGCUUUUGCUGUCCAUGCUGGCAUUU
Molecule: long non-coding RNA, 916 nt
Organism: Paramacrobiotus metropolitanus
Lineage: Eukaryota; Metazoa; Tardigrada; Eutardigrada; Parachela; Macrobiotidae
Exons: 3
Source: RefSeq, a predicted model, not a curated record